AUGAUGGACUAUAGGACAGGACUGCUGCUUUUAACUAUCUGCUGGGCAGGUGUUGAUGGUCAGACUUUGACAGAAUCUGAACCAGUGAUUAAAAGUCCUGGAGAAUCUCACAGAUUGACCUGUACAACCUCUGGAAUCUCAUUCAGUGGCUACUGGAUGCACUGGAUCAGACAGGCUCCUGGAAAAGGGCUGGAAUGGAUUGCCUGGAUUAAUACUGAUGGUAGCAGCACUAACUACCCCCAGUCAGUCAAAGGCCGGUUUACCAUCUCCAGAGACGACGGCAGACAGCAGGUGUAUCUGCAGAUGAACAGUCUGAAGACUGAAGAUUCUGCUGUUUAUUAUUGUGCUCGAGACUCACAGUGACUGAAGUUGGUUGAGCAGCUGUACAAAAUCCUACAGUACU
Larimichthys crocea (large yellow croaker) is the source of this 403-nucleotide non-coding RNA. Lineage: Eukaryota; Metazoa; Chordata; Actinopteri; Sciaenidae. The record is from the annotation of a RefSeq genome assembly.